Molecule: ribosomal RNA, 270 nt
Filed under: uncultured archaeon
Lineage: Archaea
Description: partial 16S ribosomal RNA
Rfam family: Archaeal small subunit ribosomal RNA
Source: RNAcentral
CAGCACCUCAAGUGGUCAGGAUGAUUAUUGGGCCUAAAGCAUCCGUAGCCGGCUCUGUAAGUUUUCGGUUAAAUCUGUACGCUCAACGUACAGGCUGCCGGGAAUACUGCAGAGCUAGGGAGUGGGAGAGGUAGACGGUACUCGGUAGGAAGGGGUAAAAUCCUUUGAUCUAUUGAUGACCACCUGUGGCGAAGGCGGUCUACCAGAACACGUCCGACGGUGAGGGAUGAAAGCUGGGGAAGCAAACCGGAUUAGAUACCCGAGUAGUCC